AACGAACGCUGGCGGCAUGCCUAACACAUGCAAGUCGAACGAGACCUUCGGGUCUAGUGGCGCACGGGUGCGUAACGCGUGGGAACCUGCCCUUAGGUUCGGAAUAACUCCCCGAAAGGGGUGCUAAUACCGGAUAAUGUCUUCGGACCAAAGAUUUAUCGCCUUUGGAUGGGCCCGCGUUGGAUUAGCUAGUUGGUAGGGUAAAAGCCUACCAAGGCGACGAUCCAUAGCUGGUCUGAGAGGAUGAUCAGCCACACUGGGACUGAGACACGGCCCAGACUCGUACGGGAGGCAGCAGUGGGGAAUAUUGGACAAUGCGCGAAAGGCUGAUCCAGCAAUGCCGCGUGAGUGAUGAAGGACUUAGGGUUGUAAAGCUCUUUUACCCGGGAUGAUAAUGACAGUACCGGGAGAAUAAGCUCCGGCUAACUCCGUG
Molecule: ribosomal RNA, 433 nt
Filed under: uncultured bacterium
Lineage: Bacteria
Description: partial 16S ribosomal RNA
Rfam family: Bacterial small subunit ribosomal RNA
Source: RNAcentral